AUUGAACGCUGGCGGCAUGCUUUACACAUGCAAGUCGAACGGUAACAGGCCGCAAGGUGCUGACGAGUGGCGAACGGGUGAGUAAUGCAUCGGAACGUGCCUAGUCGUGGGGAUAACUACUCGAAAGAGUAGCUAAUACCGCAUACGAUCUAUGGAUGAAAGCGGGGGACCGUAAGGCCUCGCGCGAUUGGAGCGGCCGAUGUCAGAUUAGGUAGUUGGUGGGGUAAAGGCUCACCAAGCCAACGAUCUGUAGCUGGUCUGAGAGGACGACCAGCCACACUGGGACUGAGACACGGCCCAGACUCCUACGGGAGGCAGCAGUGGGGAAUUUUGGACAAUGGGCGCAAGCCUGAUCCAGCAAUGCCGCGUGCAGGAAGAAGGCCUUCGGGUUGUAAACUGCUUUUGUACGGAACGAAACGGCUCUGGUUAAUACCCGGGGCUAAUGACGGUACCGUAAGAAUAAGCACCGGCUAACUACGUG
RNAcentral lists this ribosomal RNA (481 nucleotides) under uncultured bacterium. Its description in RNAcentral is "partial 16S ribosomal RNA". It matches the Rfam family "Bacterial small subunit ribosomal RNA", at positions 30 to 507 of the family's 1533-position model. The record is from RNAcentral.